UACGAAGGGGGCUAGCGUUGCUCGGAAUCACUGGGCGUAAAGGGUGCGUAGGCGGGUCUUUAAGUCAGGGGUGAAUCCUGGAGCUCAACUCCAGAACUGCCUUUGAUACUGAAGAUCUUGAGUUCGGGAGAGGUGAGUGGAACUGCGAGUGUAGAGGUGAAAUUCGUAGAUAUUCGCAAGAACACCAGUGGCGAAGGCGGCUCACUGGCCCGAUACUGACGCUGAGGCACGAAAGCGUGGGGAGCAAACAGG
Molecule: ribosomal RNA, 252 nt
Filed under: uncultured bacterium
Lineage: Bacteria
Description: partial 16S ribosomal RNA
Rfam family: Bacterial small subunit ribosomal RNA
Source: RNAcentral